This 253-nucleotide ribosomal RNA is filed under the name uncultured bacterium. Its description in RNAcentral is "partial 16S ribosomal RNA". It matches the Rfam family "Bacterial small subunit ribosomal RNA", at positions 524 to 776 of the family's 1533-position model. The record is from RNAcentral.
UACGGAGGGUGCAAGCGUUGCUCGGAAUCAUUGGGCGUAAAGCGUACGCAGGCUGUUUGUUAAGUCGGGUGUGAAAGCCCGGGGCUCAACCCCGGAACGGCGCCCGAAACUGGCAAGCUUGAAUGCGGGAGAGGGAAGCGGAAUUCCUGGUGUAGAGGUGAAAUUCGUAGAUAUCAGGAGGAACACCGGUGGCGAAAGCGGCUUCCUGGCCCGACAUUGACGCUCAUGUACGAAAGCGUGGGGAGCAAACAGG